This 212-nucleotide long non-coding RNA is filed under the name Phoenix dactylifera (date palm). Its description in RNAcentral is "long non-coding RNA (PDAC_LNC007510)". The record is from RNAcentral. Lineage: Eukaryota; Viridiplantae; Streptophyta; Magnoliopsida; Arecales; Arecaceae.
AAAAAGUGUGUUUGGUAAAAUUUCCAAGAAGCUGUUUCAGCUUUUGCGAGAAGCUGAAAACAGCUUUUUUGGCAGAAGUUCAAUUUUGGAGCUUUUCGAAAAUGCUGUUUUCAGCUUUGUCGGAAAGCUGUAUUUUUGACCAAAAUACCCCCAUUUAAAAGUUUCUUUUUCUUCCCAAAAAUCUCAAUCGCACCGCCUCUUUCUCUCUCACN